UUAUGGACUCAGGAUGAACGCUGGCGGCGUGCCUAACACAUGCAAGUCGAACGGGUAAGGACACCGGAUGAAGAUUCGCAGAUUCCACGUCUACUUAGUGGCGACGGGUGAGUAACGCGUGGGCAACCUGCCCUGUACAGGGGAAUAGCAGCUGGAAACGGCUGGUAAAACCGCAUAUGCGCGCAGUACCGCAUGGUACAGCGCGGAAAACUCCGGUGGUACAGGAUGGGCCCGCGUCUGAUUAGCUGGUUGGUGAGGUAACGGCCCACCAAGGCGACGAUCAGUAGCCGGCCUGAGAGGGUGAACGGCCACAUUGGGACUGAGACACGGCCCAAACUCCUACGGGAGGCAGCAGUGGGGAAUAUUGCACAAUGGGGGGAACCCUGAUGCCAGCGACGCCGCGUGGAGGAAGAAGUAUUUCGGUACGUAAACUCCUAUCAGCAGGGAAGAUGAUGACGGUACCUGACUAAGAAGCCCCGGCUAACUACGUGCCAGCAGCCGC
RNAcentral lists this ribosomal RNA (502 nucleotides) under uncultured bacterium. RNAcentral's name for it is "bacterial SSU rRNA". It matches the Rfam family "Bacterial small subunit ribosomal RNA", at positions 16 to 518 of the family's 1533-position model. The record is from RNAcentral.